RNAcentral lists this long non-coding RNA (576 nucleotides) under Chrysemys picta bellii (western painted turtle). RNAcentral describes it as "lncRNA (ENSCPBG00000020853.1)". Lineage: Eukaryota; Metazoa; Chordata; Testudines; Emydidae. The record is from RNAcentral.
AUGCUACUUAGCAACCGUAGAGGGGUAGAACUAACUGCAAUCUAGGUCCUACUGACAAGGGAUGGACUGAGCCGACAGGGAAGGGCUGCUGCAUUCACAGGCCUAGAGGAUCCCUUCCCCAGGAAUCCCCAGCCUCUGUUGGGUUGAUAUCAGUGGGACUGCUCACAAAUGUCAGCUCAUCUGAAAAUACGCCUUCUGCUGCUGCCUCUUAAAGGAAGUUUGCAGUCUAAGAACCGAGAUCCUGGGACACUGGAGCAUGACUAAAAACAGCCAGAGAGGGAAUCUGGAGGAUGUCUUCCAAGAGGGAGUUCAGAAACAGAGUCCUCAAUGGGUAAAAUGUAGCCUGCACUCUUGUGGAACCUAGGAACCAAACACUGAUGACCAUGAAUUACAGUCACAUAGUAUGGCAGGCUGGUGGGGAAGCCGUAGACCUGUCUUCUUCUCAUGGUUUGCCAGGUUGCAAGGAUCUGUCCUGCACUCUGCUGAGCGUAUUAUAGGGAUGGCAAAUGAACCUGGUUCUUGUGCAGGAGGUCUCUAUCCAUCUCCUUAUUUGGCCCCCAUUGUGGUCAUGUCUGA